UCGUGGCCAACAAACACCAACGACAGCUGGCGCAACGAUCUAGUGCGAACAUAAAAACAACCCCGGCCAGACAUGCCAGACAUGCUGCGAGUAGGCUGUGGGCAUGUUUUUGGAGGCAAAGUUUUUCCUUUAUAUUUUUCGCCGCUGAAUAAUUCAUCUCCGUACAUCGCUGCUUUGCGGGGAAACUUUUGUUCGAAAUCGAAAGUGCCUAGUGUUUUCCGGUCCAAAAUCAAUCAUAUCAGAAUUACAAUGGACAUGCCUACCGUUGGAACAAAACAGCAUUUAUUUCUUUCAAAGGAAAGCCUUUGCAACAGCCAACUGGAUGUAUCAAUAGAAAAAGAGGUCAGCGGGCGGCUUCUUAGCAAAACAAUCGCUCAACUUUUCCCAUCAACCUGUGGCAUCUGUACAGCCGGUGGGAUGGUGUGGGGGAGGAAGGGAGGCAGUCAACCAAAGCGCAUUCAAUCCGGCCAGGAUCGGUCCAUCCCGAUCGGGAAAGGGAAGCAGGAAAAUACUAUAACAACAAACGUCCUCAUCCUCGUACCCUCCCUACCACCACCUUCAACUUGUUCACUAUUCCCAGCCGUUCACUGAAUCGUCGUAACCGGCAUAUAACUUGUCGCCGCACCUUUUGCAGCGAACUUUCGCGUACCGGAGCAAUGGCAGGACGCUGACGCGUACCUUGCAUUGGGAGCGGCAGAAAAGCGACGGGAAAAGCGAAACAUCUCCGAACACCGUUCGCCCCGAAUCGCCCGAACGCGUUCCGAACGCGUCCCGAACCUGUUCCGGUGUCACGCGGGAAAGCAGAUCCGGUUUUUUUUUGUUGUUCCUGCCAAGGCAUGCAACACGGCAUCGUAUUCGCGCCCCGGCAGCCGAUCGUCACUGCUGCGUGUAAGGAGAAAAGCCGAACAUCGCCAAACGCACAGGCCGAUUAUUACGAAUAUGAAUUGCAAGUGAUGCUGUGCUGCUUCGUUCGGCGAACGAUGAUGAAUGACGACCACCAGCAGCAGUGGCGGCGGCGGUGGCAGUUUGCCAUCACCAGUCGCACCGUAUAGAGAGUGUUGCGGGCGCCAGGUCCGCCGUCAGUCAGCUGCCGGCAGUCAGCGCGAGCACACCGGUUCUCGUGGUCGUUCGUUGGCCGUCGUCCUCGGUACCCCGUUCCGGAUGUUUUCGCGUCGGAGUGGUAGUGCACGAGUGCUAGUUAAUUGAAGCUACCAAAAGAAGGAAAAAAACAGCCAUCCCCCGUACACCUUUGAUUGAAUUCGUGACCCACGACCGUGACACUGUGACUUUCACACGUCUGUACCUGUCACGCACGCACGCACGCACGCAUCGUUUCAACGACAAAGGACUUUCCAGGUUUGGCACGCAAAGGCGACGGUCCAUUCGUGCUUUGUGAUGUUUUAUUUCCUCCCUAUUGUGUGAGUGUAUGUGUGUGUGUGUCUAUAUGUUCCGGUGUAUUGUUUGGUGAAGCACGUUCCACUAUUGCUCUGGAUUGCCUGAAACGUGUCCGAGCCGAUCGGGUGUAGUUGAAUCGAAAUCCGACCCUCAUGCCUCGCGAGUUCACCCGUUCACCACCAGUCGCCGCGACGAAAGCGCGAAAGCAAAGGCCACUCUCGAAAGGAUUCUCAUUACAAAUCUCGAGUGUCCAAUAGGCAAAACCGGGCAGCACAGGGAGAAGAAGAAAAAAAGGUUCCAUUCCAAAAGUGUUUGGCGGGCGCUCUUAGUGGCAGUAGGCGGUGAUCGCGGUGAUGUAAAAGAAGAGCAAGAAAAAAAAAACAAAUCCGUGCAAACCGAAAGAGUGCGGUGCAAAUGGGUUUGCGAAGUUGUGCCAGAAAGUCAGCGAUCCCGCCAUGGACGGUAGCGUAUUGCACGUGCAAACCUCGCUAGAAGACAGUGCGCGCGUACGAAGAAGUGUGUGAAAGUGGGCUAGAAAGGACUGUGGGUUCAGUGGUCAUUUCCAGCGCGUGGCGCUCUGGUGGCUAGUGCAAUUCACACCACACGAAACCCAUCAUCACGCGGCCGCGGCUUCAUUUGCAGACGCUCGGGGAAAGUUGCACCAGUAGUGUGCAGCGAACGAAAAGUAACUGUUUCGCAGAAGAGUUAUUAAGUCUGUGUGGUGCAAAAAUUGACACGAGCAACAAGAGAGCAAAAAAAAACAGGCGAACUGUGCGUGGAAGAUGACGAGCUGCGAUGGUAGUAGUGUGUGAUGACACACCGGGACUAGCAGCACGCUCAACCUACGACCCCCGUCGUACCCAGGAUGCAAUGCUGUGCAGCGGCGAUGACACGAGCGGUUCCAUGCGCUAAACUUGUGAAGCGCUAUUAAUUGGUGACCGAUGCCAGCAAAUACAGCAAAAGUCUAGACGCAAGAGCACUCGCGAAAAAAACACUCAACUCAACGUACUCUGGAACGUUUUGUCCCUCAAAGUGCACCGAAAUUACAGCCAAACCCCCAUCGGGACGGAACGCCGGUCAGUAGCGGCAGACAACAGUGGUCAGCGGUCCUAUAGCAACUAGUCGCAGCGAUCUGAUUGCAAUCUACCAUACAGCCGGGUGCGCACAAUCAACCGGGAUACAACCGGAGGGGCACAACGGAGCAAACGGAGUGCACGGAGCCCAACGAAAAUUCCAUAGAUAUGGUCCGCCAUGGUGUCAACAAACGGUGGCCCUUCUACUGUCGCUGCUGCUGUUGCCGCUGCCGGUACUGCUGCUGCUACUGCGGCUGCCGCUGCUGCUGCUGCUGCGGCGGGUUCCGCGUCCACCCUCAGCACCACUGAUGCGACACAACUGUUCAUCAACACAACGCUUGACUCAUGUGCCCUUAAAUAUGAAGAGUUCGUUAUACCGAAUACAGUUCCUUACUGCAACUGGACCUGGGAUAGCAUACUAUGCUGGCCCCCGACACCAGCCAAUUUGACAAUAAGACAGCGAUGCCCUCCAGCACACGGAAUCGAUACCUCAAAGUUUGCCGAACGACGAUGCAGUGCCGAAGGACAGUGGGAGGGCAAACCGGGCUCCCCGCCAACCCUUCACGGAUGGACCAACUAUACGCCCUGCUACAGCCCGGAAGUUAUACAACUGUUUAGAAAGCUUUACGCCAGCGGCAGCGACGACGAAGCGAAUGACAAGUUUGACAUUGCCGAGCGAACGCGCACACUGGAGACGGUGGGAUUUAGUCUUUCACUAGUAGCGUUAAUUGUUUCGUUAGUCAUAUUUUGUAAAUUUCGCGGUCUGCGCAACAACCGGACGCGAAUACACAAAAAUCUGUUCGUUGCCAUGGUGAUACAGGUGGUGAUCCGCCUGACCGUAUACAUUGACCAAGCGAUCAUACGCAGCGGUGGCAAGAAAGGCAACGAAAGCUCCCGCCAAGGAAUCGAUAACACUCUUUUCCUGUGCGAAGCGUCGUACGUGCUGCUGGAGUACGCCAGGACCUGCAUGUUUAUGUGGAUGUUUAUAGAGGGACUAUAUUUACACAACGUAGUGACGGUGACAGUAUUCCAGGGAAGAUUUCCCCACAAGCUUUACGCGAUCGUCGGUUGGGGCGGCCCACUCAUACUGACCGUCAUCUGGGCCAUCAUAACCGCGCAGUACAUCCGGCAGCAGAAAUGCUGGUGGGGAUACAACUUGACGCCUUAUUACUGGAUUUUGGAAGGUCCAAGACUAGCAGCUGUCGUGUUAAAUUUCAUAUUUCUACUCAACAUUAUACGAGUGCUGAUCGUGAAGCUGCGCCAAAGCCACACCAGCGACGUGGAGCAGGUCCGGAAAGCGGUCCGGGCGGCGGUCGUCCUCGUGCCGCUGCUCGGCAUCACCAACAUACUGAACAUGACGCAGGCACCGCUCGACAAGACGGCCCUCGAGUUUGCCAUCUGGUCGUACGUGACGCACUUUCUCAGCUCCUUCCAGGGAUUCUUCAUCGCGCUGCUGUACUGCUUCCUGAACGGGGAGGUACGGACGGCACUGAUGAAAAGCAUCAGCGUGUACCUGUCGCUCCGUGGGCACCACGAUUGGGCGAUCCGGCGCCAGUCCCUGUUUUCCGCCGGCUAUCCAACCGCCCCGAUCAACGAGACACCGCACGCAGGCGAACCGCAACGCACCCCCAACACCAACAAUAACAACAACAACAAUAAUAAUAGCAGCAGAAACGCCGCCAGCAACAAUCUGCUGGCCGGGGCUGCCAGCAGCAACAACCAUCACACCGCCAACGGUGGUAUGGCCAGCGGCAACGCGAACGGUUUCCGGUGCGGCUGGUUUAGCCGCUGCUUUUCAGUACAAAAACACACCAACCCGUCCGCACCGGAGCCGGCCCCGCCCGAGUCAGUUGUAUUCGAUAUUUCCGACUAGUUGUGUUGCCUCCCUGUGUCUUUGUGUGUGUCCUUGUGUGUUUGUACAUUUUAGUUCCUAUUAUGGUUUUAGUGUCCUUCCUUAACCAGCGUGUGAUGGCGGCUGGCGGAACACGCCCGAAGUAGUACACCGAUCCAUGAGACUAUACGAAACUAGUAAAGCUUUACCACACACACACACACCCUCCCCAAAUGACUACCGCUGGAAAGGUGGAGGUGUGUUGAAGAGGAGUCAAUGGAGGAGCACAAUACACACGCACAAAAGAAACCAACACAUUGCUGUAUCAGGGCAGCGCAACAAAAACUUAUAUACGCGCCAGAGCCCCAAGCGCACGCCUCAUGGCGGGGGAAACAACGCACGUGCGAGGAACGCGCGCUAAGGACAUUGGGGCGUGGAAUAGAGCAGAAGGAAUUUCGAAUUUUAUAUAAACGAUUGUUCUGCCGCCAAAACUUUAUUUAAAAAUAGCAAAGGGAAAGGAGCAAAUGCGGAAAGGACGGAAAUUUAUCAAAUUAUUGCUUACGUGCGAAUCGAAUUUACUCUGUUACAGAUCGUAGAUUAUAAUGGGGCAAACGGGGCUGAUUGUUAAAGGAAAGAACCCUUAGAAAGGUGGGGAAGGGCACAGAGUGGGUUCCCGCUCGCUGUUUCAAUAUACAUUAUGGCACAUAUUUUAUGGACGGAAGCUCGAUAGACGACAGAGGAGAAGAUGUUACUAAUAUUAACGAUUGUCGAUUGUUUUUUGUCGAUUGUUUCGUAACUGGAUGAGCCUAGCGUUUAAGAGAUGUCGCAAACAAACGUAAAGAGAAAAGAAAGAGCCCAAUCUGCACAGCAGCAGCAGCACUACAAACAAACAAAGCGAAACCUAACGCCCGGAAACGCGCAAAAGGGGCGCAGAAAUGGCUUUAGAUUGAUUUAUGUGUAAAAAGCAAAGCAACGCAAACUUCAAACCGAACAAAUAAAUGCAAUGUU
RNA transcript from Anopheles merus, 5307 nucleotides. It is a transcript of the gene named PDF receptor, with no coding region annotated. The transcript has 14 exons. The record is from RefSeq and is a predicted model, not a curated record. Lineage: Eukaryota; Metazoa; Arthropoda; Insecta; Diptera; Culicidae.